GGCAGAGGGAAGCCACCAAGGUGCCAUUGAGGAUUGGUGUCUGGCUCUCUAUGGGCAAGAGCGCCAGGGGACACACAGUGGGACCGGAACCUUCCAGAAUGUCUCCUCAGUCAGGGCCCUGUGCUAAUCACGAGUCUUUCCUGUUCAGAGCAGUGAGGCCUGAGACCCUCAACAGUGCUGUGUGUACAGAAGGCCCCCAGAAUCCACACAAAGGGGCCGCCUGAAACCUAGAGCAUUUGUGAAGGAGGAAAAUGGAAGGAACAACUGGAUGUUGUAAAUGUUUCUCAUCUGGCCUUAAAAUCCAUGAAAGCUGGAAAAUCACAAGGCAUCUGUGCACAUACUGGUGGAUUUUAAUGAGAGUCCUGUGUUUGGAGCACCAGAAAUAAACCAGCUUCAGAAGCAAAGGAGGAGGAAGCAGAGCUAGAGAUGGAAGGAGACCCAGCCAGCCCGGGCUCCAGUGACAUCGGCUGGUACACGCUUUUGUUUGCUUACGCUUGUUGAACUGAGUUUUUCAUAUGUAACUAACGAAUAGUGGCACAUGUGAGACUGGGCAUGAUUCAGAAAAGUUGGAAGAUCUAGAGAGGGAUCUUGCA
RNAcentral lists this small RNA (593 nucleotides) under Pan troglodytes (chimpanzee). Its description in RNAcentral is "processed transcript". The record is from RNAcentral. Lineage: Eukaryota; Metazoa; Chordata; Mammalia; Primates; Hominidae.